This is a long non-coding RNA of Helianthus annuus (common sunflower), 2002 nucleotides long. RefSeq lists it as uncharacterized. Lineage: Eukaryota; Viridiplantae; Streptophyta; Magnoliopsida; Asterales; Asteraceae. The record is from RefSeq and is a predicted model, not a curated record. The transcript has 2 exons.
GGGAAAUUUAGUCGGGCAGUAUAAAAAAGCGAUCAUCUUGUUGGGUCUAGGGUUUGGGGCAAACACAAAAACUCAGACAACAAAGAAAUGAGGCAACAGAGGGAAGGCAUGUUUGUGAAGGGUGGUUAAUCCCCCUCAGUCGCCUAUGAUUUUCGAUUUUGCCCCUUCUUUUUAACCGCCCUUCAGCUUUUAGAUCUACAUCUAUACAUAUAUAUAUAGGGAGGUUCAGAAAAUGCAUACAAAUCCACCCUGAAGUUAUGAUUUCUCUGUGUUUGUAACUUAGGGGGUGUUUGGCCUAGCUUUUUUAACAAAGCUUUUUUUAGCUUUUUUUUUUUUUUUUUUUUUACUCUGUUGGGGGUGUUUGGUAUUGCUUAUUUUACUCCAAAAGUGAUUAUAAUAAAAAGGGGCGAUGAUGAUGAAUGUCUAGUUGUCUGAGUGAAUCGGUGGCUGAGAUAUACCAAAUCUUGGCGGGGCAAUUUUCCGGCGGUGGAUACAUUAGAUGCCGCUGUGAUUAUUGCAGCCAUGGAGGUUUAAUCCUUUUUCUAUCGGUUCUUUUUACAGAUUUGAGCCUCAUUUAAAAAAAAUCCAUUUUUUUCUUGAUUACUCACGGAUCUGAGUCUUCUUGACCCUGUUGCUUUAUAUUGUUUCUGUUCUAUUCUGUUGACAUUUUUUAAUCUAUUGUGUUUGUAUUUCAUGGGUAUGUAGCAACAUUGCAACAAACUCUAAUGAUUUGUGCAGUAUGACUAUAGACAGUUAGGAUCGUUUACAGCUCACGGACUUAAAUGGAUAGGUAAUUGACCGGAGUAGACUUGGACCGUUAACUGAUGAGUGCCUGGUCUUUGACCUUUUGGUUAUGGUGAUGGGUUUGACAACUGCUGGACCGCGGCUGCAAUAAUGGGUUGAAAUCGCACGGCUGCCAUGUAAGGGUCUCAUGUAGGAAGGUUGAGGGGUUAGUUUGAUGAGUGAAGAUGGAUGGAUUUAUAGCCAUGUCGGCCGCUUUUUUUCUAAACUUAACGAGUAGUAGGCUUGGGACAAGAGAUUGCCUUCUGGAAGGAUUGCUGGAUUCUUGAAGUGCCCCUGUGUGUUAAAUUCCCAGCAUUAUUCUCUUUGGAACAAAAGAAAAAUGUUGUAAUCUCAGAUAGGAUUAAGCGUGUAAACAGGCUGUGCAAUUUGGAUUUUUGAUGGACUCGUGUGCCGGCUUGAUCGGAUGAAAUAAGGGAGCUACAACAGUUGUCGGCCUCCAUCUCUUCUGUUUUGCUCUCGGAUAGAAGGGACGGUUGGACCUGGGCUCUUUGUCCAAUCGGGUUGUUUUCGGUUAAAAGUCUGAGGUCCCAAAUGUAUUCAGUUGGUGCAGCAGGGGUUAGGUCCACUUUUGUGUGGAAUAGAUGGACUCCCCUUAAAGUUAAUUUUUUGUCUUGGAGGCACCACUUGGAUAGAUUCCCCACGAAGGCAGCUUUGGCAAGAAGAUGGAUAACCGAUGCAGCAUGUGGGACGUGUUGGAUGAGACUUUGGACCAUUUGUUUGUGGAAUCUUAGUUUGCGCAGCAACUUUGGGACCGAGUGUCUCAUUGGUGCAGGCUCCCACCAUGCUUAUUUUUUGGAGCUAAGGACGUAUUAGAGCUUCAGGAGCAUAGUUGUGGAUCGGAGAAGUGGAAGAAGGCCCUGUACACAGUUAUACAAACUGCGAUUUGGAGCAUUUGGAAGGCACGCAAUGAUGUGAUUAUCAACCGAAAACGGUCGACAAUGGAUACCGUCUUUGAAGAAAUAAGAGUUCUAUCCUUCCUGUUGUCGAGAAAUCGCGCAAAGGUACCCGCUUUGACAUGGAACGACCGGAAGGAUUUCAACCUAGCUUGUAUUGGUGUAUGAACUUAACUCUUGGUGGCUGUAACCAUUUAGGCUAACAGUUGUUGGCCUUGUUAAAAUCAAUAAAAUUGUUUGUUGGCCUUUCAAAGAAAACGAGUAGUAGACAAACCAAUAAUAUAUUGAACGACAAACUUUGACAA